RNAcentral lists this ribosomal RNA (252 nucleotides) under uncultured bacterium. Its description in RNAcentral is "partial 16S ribosomal RNA". It matches the Rfam family "Bacterial small subunit ribosomal RNA", at positions 524 to 776 of the family's 1533-position model. The record is from RNAcentral.
UACAGAGGGUGCAAGCGUUGCUCGGAAUCACUGGGCGUAAAGCGCACGUAGGCGGAUCUUUAAGUCAGGGGUGAAAUCCCAAGGCUCAACCUUGGAACUGCCUUUGAUACUGGGGAUCUCGAGUCCGGAAGAGGUUGGUGGAACUGCGAGUGUAGAGGUGAAAUUCGUAGAUAUUCGCAAGAACACCAGUGGCGAAGGCGGCCAACUGGUCCGGUACUGACGCUGAGGUGCGAAAGCGUGGGAGCAACAGGG